UGGGGAAUAUUGCACAAUGGGGGCAACCCUGAUGCAGCGACGCCGCGUGAGCGAAGAAGGUUUUCGAAUCGUAAAGCUCUGUCCUAUGGGAAGAUAAUGACGGUACCAUAGGAGGAAGCCCCGGCUAACUACGUGCCAGCAGCCGCGGUAAUACGUAGGGGGCAAGCGUUGUCCGGAAUCACUGGGCGUAAAGGGUUCGCAGGCGGAAAUGCAAGUCAGUUGUGAAAGGCAGAGGCUCAACCUCUGUAAGCAAUUGAAACUGUAUUUCUUGAGAUGUGGAGAGGCAAGUGGAAUUCCUAGUGUAGCGGUGAAAUGCGUAGAUAUUAGGAAGAAUACCGGUGGCGAAGGCGACUUGCUGGACACAAACUGACGCUGAGGAACGAAAGCGUGGGUAGCAAACAGG
RNAcentral lists this ribosomal RNA (403 nucleotides) under Fusobacteriota bacterium. RNAcentral's name for it is "Fusobacteria bacterium partial 16S ribosomal RNA". It matches the Rfam family "Bacterial small subunit ribosomal RNA", at positions 355 to 776 of the family's 1533-position model. The record is from RNAcentral. Lineage: Bacteria; Fusobacteriati; Fusobacteriota.